AUUGAACGCUGGCGGCGUGCUUAACACAUGCAAGUCGAACGAAGUGGCGAACGGGUGAGUAAUGCGUAAUCAACCUGCCCUUCAGAGGGGGACAACAGUUGGUAACGACUGCUAAUACCGCAUACUGAAGGAGGGGAUUGCGUCUGAUUAGCUAGUUGGAGGGGGAACGGCCCACCAAGGCGAUGAUCAGUAGCCUGUCUGAGAGGAUGAACGGCCCCAUCGGGACUGGGACACGGCCCAGACUCCUACGGGAUGCGGCAGUGGGGAAACUUCCGCAAUGGACGAAAGUCUGACGGAGCAACGCCGCGGGAGUGAUGACGGCCUUCGGGUUGUAAAGCUCUGUUAAUCGGGACGCGGUACCGGAAUAGAAAGCCACUGCUAACUACGUGCCAGCAGCCGCGGUAAUUC
This 408-nucleotide ribosomal RNA is filed under the name uncultured bacterium. RNAcentral's name for it is "partial 16S ribosomal RNA". It matches the Rfam family "Bacterial small subunit ribosomal RNA", at positions 30 to 526 of the family's 1533-position model. The record is from RNAcentral.